UCCCUUGUAGCUUAGCUGGUAAAGAAUCUGCCUGCAAUGCAGGAGACCUGGGUUUGAUCCCUGGGUUGGAA
This 71-nucleotide transfer RNA is filed under the name Bos taurus (domestic cattle). It matches the Rfam family "tRNA". From Rfam's summary of the family: Transfer RNA (tRNA) molecules are approximately 80 nucleotides in length. Their secondary structure includes four short double-helical elements and three loops (D, anti-codon, and T loops). The record is from Rfam by way of RNAcentral. RNAcentral also lists the same sequence under 4 other names. Lineage: Eukaryota; Metazoa; Chordata; Mammalia; Artiodactyla; Bovidae.